CCUACGGGAGGCUGCAGUGGGGAAUAUUGGACAAUGGGCGAAAGCCUGAUCCAGCCAUGCCGCGUGUGUGAAGAAGGCCUUCGGGUUGUAAAGCACUUUCAGUGGGGAAGAAAGCCUUGGGGCUAAUACCCUCGAGGAAGGACAUCACCCACAGAAGAAGCACCGGCUAACUCCGUGCCAGCAGCCGCGGUAAUACGGAGGGUGCGAGCGUUAAUCGGAAUUACUGGGCGUAAAGCGCGCGUAGGCGGUCUGAUAAGCCGGUUGUGAAAGCCCCGGGCUCAACCUGGGAACGGCAUCCGGAACUGUCAGGCUAGAGUGCAGGAGAGGAAGGUAGAAUUCCCGGUGUAGCGGUGAAAUGCGUAGAGAUCGGGAGGAAUACCAGUGGCGAAGGCGGCCUUCUGGACUGACACUGACGCUGAGGUGCGAAAGCGUGGGUAGCAAACAGGAGUAGAUACCCCGGUAGUC
RNAcentral lists this ribosomal RNA (465 nucleotides) under Vreelandella stevensii. RNAcentral's name for it is "partial 16S ribosomal RNA". It matches the Rfam family "Bacterial small subunit ribosomal RNA", at positions 338 to 795 of the family's 1533-position model. The record is from RNAcentral. Lineage: Bacteria; Pseudomonadati; Pseudomonadota; Gammaproteobacteria; Oceanospirillales; Halomonadaceae.